GAGAUCGUAGCUCAGUUGGCAGAGCCCCAGGUUGUGGUCCCGGUGGUCAUCGGUUCGAAUCCGAUCGGUCUCCCC
RNAcentral lists this transfer RNA (75 nucleotides) under Chitinimonas prasina. RNAcentral's name for it is "tRNA-His". It matches the Rfam family "tRNA". Rfam says of the family: Transfer RNA (tRNA) molecules are approximately 80 nucleotides in length. Their secondary structure includes four short double-helical elements and three loops (D, anti-codon, and T loops). Further hydrogen bonds mediate the characteristic L-shaped molecular structure. tRNAs have two regions of fundamental functional importance: the anti-codon, which is responsible for specific mRNA codon recognition, and the 3' end, to which the tRNAs corresponding amino acid is attached (by aminoacyl-tRNA synthetases). tRNAs cope with the degeneracy of the genetic code in two manners: having more than one tRNA (with a specific anti-codon) for a particular amino acid; and 'wobble' base-pairing, i.e. permitting non-standard base-pairing at the 3rd anti-codon position. The record is from RNAcentral. Lineage: Bacteria; Pseudomonadati; Pseudomonadota; Betaproteobacteria; Neisseriales; Chitinibacteraceae.